UGCAGCAACGCCGCGUGAGGGAUGACGGCCUUUCGGGUUGUAAACCUCUUUUAGCAAGGAAGAAGCGAAAGUGACGGUACUUGCAGAAAAAGCGCCGGCUAACUACGUGCCAGCAGCCGCGGUAAUACGUAGGGCGCAAGCGUUAUCCGGAAUUAUUGGGCGUAAAGAGCUCGUAGGCGGUUUGUCGCGUCUGCUGUGAAAUCUGGAGGCUCAACCUCCAGCCUGCAGUGGGUACGGGCAGACUAGAGUGCGGUAGGGGAGAUUGGAAUUCCUGGUGUAGCGGUGGAAUGCGCAGAUAUCAGGAGGAACACCGAUGGCGAAGGCAGAUCUCUGGGCCGUAACUGACGCUGAGGAGCGAAAGGGUGGGGAGCAAACAGGCUUAGAUACCCUGGUAGUCCACCCCGUAAACGUUGGGAACUAGUUGUGGGGACCAUUCCACGGUUUCCGUGACGCAGCUAACGCAUUAAGUUCCCCGCCUGGGGAGUACGGCCGCAAGGCUAAAACUCAAAGGAAUUGACGGGGACCCGCACAAGCGGCGGAGCAUGCGGAUUAAUUCGAUGCAACGCGAAGAACCUUACCAAGGCUUGACAUAUACGAGAACGCUGCAGAAAUGUAGAACUCUUUGGA
Molecule: ribosomal RNA, 627 nt
Filed under: Microbacterium sp. Ri3Ps_5287
Lineage: Bacteria; Bacillati; Actinomycetota; Actinomycetes; Micrococcales; Microbacteriaceae
Description: bacterial SSU rRNA
Rfam family: Bacterial small subunit ribosomal RNA
Source: RNAcentral